ACGAGUUUUCCAACUCCCAACCCUUUGUGAACAUACCUAUCGUUGCUUCGGCGGACUCGCCCAGCGCCUGGACGCGGGCCUGGGCGGCGGCCGUCGGGGGCCCCAAACACUGUAUCUACCAGUUUUUCUGAAUCCGCCGCAAGGCAAAACAAAUGAAUCA
RNAcentral lists this unclassified non-coding RNA (160 nucleotides) under uncultured Cordyceps. RNAcentral describes it as "sequence contains ITS1". The record is from RNAcentral. Lineage: Eukaryota; Fungi; Ascomycota; Sordariomycetes; Hypocreales; Cordycipitaceae.